This 385-nucleotide ribosomal RNA is filed under the name uncultured bacterium. Its description in RNAcentral is "bacterial SSU rRNA". It matches the Rfam family "Bacterial small subunit ribosomal RNA", at positions 30 to 417 of the family's 1533-position model. The record is from RNAcentral.
AUUGAACGCUGGCGGCAUGCCUUACACAUGCAAGUCGAACGGCAGCGGACCUUCGGGUGCCGGCGAGUGGCGAACGGGUGAGUAAUAUAUCGGAACGUACCUUUCAGUGGGGGAUAACGUAGCGAAAGUUACGCUAAUACCGCAUAUUCUGUGAGCAGGAAAGCAGGGGAUCGCAAGACCUUGCGCUGAUUGAGCGGCCGAUAUCAGAUUAGCUAGUUGGUGAGGUAAAGGCUCACCAAGGCGACGAUCUGUAGCGGGUCUGAGAGGAUGAUCCGCCACACUGGAACUGAGACACGGUCCAGACUCCUACGGGAGGCAGCAGUGGGGAAUAUUGGACAAUGGGGGCAACCCUGAUCCAGCCAUGCCGCGUGUGUGAAGAAGGCCU